Molecule: unclassified non-coding RNA, 298 nt
Organism: Pongo abelii (Sumatran orangutan)
Lineage: Eukaryota; Metazoa; Chordata; Mammalia; Primates; Hominidae
Rfam family: Metazoan signal recognition particle RNA
About the family: The signal recognition particle (SRP) is a universally conserved ribonucleoprotein. It is involved in the co-translational targeting of proteins to membranes. The eukaryotic SRP consists of a 300-nucleotide 7S RNA and six proteins: SRPs 72, 68, 54, 19, 14, and 9.
Source: Ensembl
GUUGGGCACAGUGGUGCAUGCCGGUAGUCCCAGCUCCUCAGGGGGCUGCAGCAGGAGGAUUGCUUGAGCCCAGGAGUUCUGGGCUGUAGUGCACUAUGCCCAUUGGGUAUUCAUACUAAGUUCGGCAUCAAUAUGGUGAUCUCCUGAGAGCAGGGGAUCUCUAGAUUGCCUAAGGAGAGGUAAAUGGCCCAGAUGAGAAAUGGAGCAGGUCAAAACUCUGUGCUGAUUAAUAGUGAGAUAGCACCUGAGAAUACCCACUGCACUCCAACCUGGGCAACACAGAAAGACACUGUGUCUU